This 527-nucleotide ribosomal RNA is filed under the name uncultured bacterium. RNAcentral describes it as "bacterial SSU rRNA". It matches the Rfam family "Bacterial small subunit ribosomal RNA", at positions 777 to 1297 of the family's 1533-position model. The record is from RNAcentral.
AAUAGAUACCCAGGUAGUCCACGCCGUAAACGAUGAGUGCUAAGUGUUAGAGGGUUUCCGCCCUUUAGUGCUGCAGCUAACGCAUUAAGCACUCCGCCUGGGGAGUACGGCCGCAAGGCUGAAACUCAAAGGAAUUGACGGGGGGCCCGCACAAGCGGUGGAGCAUGUGGUUUAAUUCGAAGCAACGCGAAGAACCUUACCAGGUCUUGACAUCCUCUGACCACCCUAGAGAUAGGGCUUUCCCCUUCGGGGGACAGAGUGACAGGUGGUGCAUGGUUGUCGUCAGCUCGUGUCGUGAGAUGUUGGGUUAAGUCCCGCAACGAGCGCAACCCUUGUCCUUAGUUGCCAGCAUUCAGUUGGGGCACUCUAAGGAGACUGCCGGUGACAAACCGGAGGAAGGUGGGGAUGACGUCAAAUCAUCAUGCCCCCUUAUGACCUGGGCUACACACGUGCUACAAUGGAUGGUACAAAGGGCAGCGAAGCCGCGAGGUGGAGCCAAUCCCACAAAAACCCAUUCUCAGUUCGGA